GUCUGACAAUAAUCUGAAUCAGCAUGAGUCAAACACUGGGUUAGAUGUUUGAAAUGAUGAGAUAUAACCUGUUCAUGAAAGGUUUUACCUUCACAAAUCCACGUCCUGCUUCUGUGUUGUCUCCUUCUUCUUCACCUUCUGGAAUCCUGGAAUUCACAACAAUCCGAGUUAUUCCAACCGGGACCGAUCCUCCUUCAUCCUCACUCCAUCCAUGAAACUGUGCAGCUGCUUGGGUUUGGAGGGCUAAAGUUAAAUGAAAGCAGCACAAGUGUUGCAGGCUCGGAGGAUGGCGGAGGAGGCGGCGGAGGAGACACUCAUUGUUGUCAGAGAAGAAGGGACCAUGACAGAGGUGGAGGAAAAAAAAAAGAGGAAAGGGGAAAAGUGAGAUCCUGAAGUGUCCCAGCCCUUUGUCGUUUUCUCCACUUCCUACUACUAAACUUACAUCAACCCCCACACAACAACAUGGCCGACCCUGCCUGCGGGACUGGAGCUACACAGCUGGAGACACUGGAUCCGUCCGGUGGUGUGUGGUUGAUCUGAGAGCAGCUGGGAGAGAAGAGGCGAUCACACAAGAAGAAGAAGCUGGGUACAGCAGAUUAGGAAAGAGAGAACAAUGUGAGAAAAGAGGAAAUGAGAGAGGAGUGGAAGGGGGGUUCAUGUGGAAAAAAAAGGAGGACUCGAAGCGCCCUCAAUUUGUACCAUUUUCAAUCACAAAUACAGAUCUCUGACUCCCACUGCUGGACGUGUACAUGUUACUGCAGCUGCACAUCUGCAGCUUGUAGAGAUCCCUCUUUAAAGAUGA
Notolabrus celidotus (New Zealand spotty) is the source of this 802-nucleotide long non-coding RNA. RefSeq lists it as uncharacterized. The record is from RefSeq and is a predicted model, not a curated record. Lineage: Eukaryota; Metazoa; Chordata; Actinopteri; Labriformes; Labridae. The transcript is spliced from 3 exons.